This 479-nucleotide ribosomal RNA is filed under the name uncultured bacterium. RNAcentral's name for it is "partial 16S ribosomal RNA". It matches the Rfam family "Bacterial small subunit ribosomal RNA", at positions 29 to 506 of the family's 1533-position model. The record is from RNAcentral.
AUGAACGCUGGCGGCGUGCUUAACACAUGCAAGUCGAACGCAGCAUUUAGGACAGAUUACUUCGGUUUGAAGUUCUUUAUGACUGAGUGGCGGACGGGUGAGUAACGCGUGGGUAACCUGCCUUGUACUGGGGGAUAGCAGCUGGAAACGGCUGGUAAUACCGCAUAAGCGCACAAUGUUGCAUGACAUGGUGUGAAAAACUCCGGUGGUAUAAGAUGGACCCGCGUCUGAUUAGCUAGUUGGUGAGAUAACAGCCCACCAAGGCGACGAUCAGUAGCCGACCUGAGAGGGUGACCGGCCACAUUGGGACUGAGACACGGCCCAGACUCCUACGGGAGGCAGCAGUGGGGAAUAUUGCACAAUGGAGGAAACUCUGAUGCAGCGACGCCGCGUGAGUGAAGAAGUAAUUCGUUAUGUAAAGCUCUAUCAGCAGGGAAGAUAGUGACGGUACCUGACUAAGAAGCUCCGGCUAAAUACGU